GAUUAAGCCAUGCAUGUGUAAGUAUAAAUAGUUAACUUUGAAACUGCGAAUGGCUCAUUAUAUCAGUUAUAGUUUAUUUGAUGAAGAAUACUAAUUGGAUAACCGUAGUAAUUCUAGAGCUAAUACAUGUAUAAAGUCUUGUAGACUGCAUUUAUUAGAAUGAAAACCAUAGGUUUCGGCCUAUUCGUGAGUAAUAAUAACUAAUCAUAUCGUAUGCCUUAUGUAAACGAUGUGUCUUUCCAAGUUUCUGCCCUAUCAGCUUUCGAUGGUAGUGUAUUGGACUACCAUG
This 289-nucleotide ribosomal RNA is filed under the name Blastocystis sp. RNAcentral describes it as "partial 18S ribosomal RNA". It matches the Rfam family "Eukaryotic small subunit ribosomal RNA", at positions 42 to 348 of the family's 1831-position model. The record is from RNAcentral. Lineage: Eukaryota; Bigyra; Opalinata; Blastocystidae.